Harmonia axyridis is the source of this 193-nucleotide long non-coding RNA. RefSeq lists it as uncharacterized. NCBI's taxonomy places the organism in Eukaryota, Metazoa, Arthropoda, Insecta, Coleoptera, Coccinellidae. The transcript has 2 exons. The record is from RefSeq and is a predicted model, not a curated record.
UGCGUAUUAUGAUAUUGCGUUUCUUAAUUGAUAAUCAUUUGAUAUUACCCUGUUUGAUGCUUGUGUCUGAUUUUGUACAUUUCUUAGACUUAGAGAUUAACCUCGCAUUCAUUGCCCUGAGGAAGAAGCAAAAUAAGCUUCGAAAGCUAGGCUUUACAUGAAUAAAGAGUAAAUAUAUCUCGUUAAUUGCUGA